UACGGGGGGUGCGAGCGUUGUCCGGAAUCACUGGGCGUAAAGGGCGCGUAGGUGGUUUGAUAAGGGUGUGGUGAAAGUCCGGGGCUCAACCCCGGAUCUGCCGUGCCGACUGUCAAACUCGAGGACUGUAGAGGCAGACGGAAUUCCUGGUGUAGCGGUGAAAUGCGCAGAUAUCAGGAAGAACACCCGUGGCGAAGGCGGUUCUCUGGGACGGUACUGACGCUGAGACGCGAAAGCGUGGGGAGCGAACAGG
This 253-nucleotide ribosomal RNA is filed under the name uncultured bacterium. Its description in RNAcentral is "partial 16S ribosomal RNA". It matches the Rfam family "Bacterial small subunit ribosomal RNA", at positions 524 to 776 of the family's 1533-position model. The record is from RNAcentral.